AGUGAACGCUGGCGGUGGGCCUAACACAUGCGAGUCGAACGGCAGCACAGUAAGAGCUUGCUCUUACGGGUGGCGAGUGGCGGACGGGUGAGGAAUACAUCGGAAUCUACUUUUUCGUGGGGGAUAACGUAGGGAAACUUACGCUAAUACCGCAUACGACCUACGGGUGAAAGCAGGGGAUCUUCGGACCUUGCGCGAUUGAAUGAGCCGAUGUCGGAUUAGCUAGUUGGCGGGGUAAAGGCCCACCAAGGCGACGAUCCGUAGCUGGUCUGAGAGGAUGAUCAGCCACACUGGAACUGAGACACGGUCCAGACUCCUACGGGAGGCAGCAGUGGGGAAUAUUGGACAAUGGGCGCAAGCCUGAUCCAGCCAUACCGCGUGGGUGAAGAAGGCCUUCGGGUUGUAAAGCCCUUUUGUUGGGAAAGAAAAGCAGCAGGUUAAUACCCCGCUGUUCUGACGGUACCCAAAGAAUAAGCACCGGCUAACUUCGUG
RNAcentral lists this ribosomal RNA (492 nucleotides) under uncultured bacterium. RNAcentral describes it as "partial 16S ribosomal RNA". It matches the Rfam family "Bacterial small subunit ribosomal RNA", at positions 29 to 507 of the family's 1533-position model. The record is from RNAcentral.